ACAAAUCCCAUCACAGACUUGACUUCCUUCCAACUCGAAGGGGCUCCAGUGCUGCAGGAGACAGUGGGUGGAUUCCAAAACGAAGCUUUGUGACUCAGGCGAUAUGAAACACCGGAAUGUCUAUUUUUCCAUCUUUGAGCCAACAGACUAAAUUUCAACACCAAACGUGUAACAUACAGACUGGACUCACCAGCUGAAUACUGCAUACGAAAGACCACAGUUUUUGAUUAAGACGAGGGCUCUCUGAGGCUGGAAAAAAAAAGUCACCCAACUCAGUUGUAUCAAUAAUGUAUCGACAAGAAAAUAUAUGCCUCGAAGCUAUAAUGAAUAAUUUUAAAACCAUAUUUUGCGGUGCCACUUCACAGUUGCUGAACACAGGUGCGUGUCUUCCAUUUUACACAGACGACCCAUUUCGGCUUUUACGCGGGGAAUAAUAAUGAAGUCUUAAUGACCCGUUUUCUAAUUUGUUCUUUGGGCUUUAAAAACGUCUCAUAAUCAAAAUGAAUGACAAAGCUAAUUUGGUUUUAACAAUCCGCAUAUAAAAUGUUAUGUCAAUGGACCCGAGGGUAAAAAUGAAGCAAGGCCAAGAUGUUAAAGACAUUGAUCAACAAAUAAUCCAAAAUGAAUUUAAGAUGUAAUGGAGCCUAGCGUAUUUCUGCCAAAUAGUUUUGCUUGUUACCAUUUAAUGUAAUGUUGGGAGCAUGUCAUCCCCAAAGGCCUUCAAAUGAAGCAUACCAUUAAGAGACUUAAAACUACAAAGUCUGGACUAAUUUAGCGGAAACAUUGGUUGUGGCAGUCCGUCCUUUGUGCUGCUCGCUCCGUCUGCCCGUCUAUGAAUGUGACUGCUGCAUAUUUCAAUCAACAGACACUGGAGAUUGUGUCGGGAAUAAAUCAACCUGGAUGUCAUUGCGAUCAAAUCUGCCUGCUACUCAUCUAAAACAUCCUGCCGUUGGAUUACGACGACCUUUCGAGCGUGAGGGCUGGUUCAUGACGAUGGGCGAGUGGAUGGAGAGAUGUACAGUAUGAGUGAUCUGACAGAGGACAUCUAAGGACACCCGAGGGUGUGCAUGCUUCUGCCGUUGGGAUUUCCGAAAUUCAAAAGGUAGUUUUUUUUUUAAAU
Long non-coding RNA from Hippocampus zosterae (dwarf seahorse), 1120 nucleotides. RefSeq lists it as uncharacterized. Lineage: Eukaryota; Metazoa; Chordata; Actinopteri; Syngnathiformes; Syngnathidae. The record is from RefSeq and is a predicted model, not a curated record. The transcript is spliced from 2 exons.